Molecule: ribosomal RNA, 446 nt
Filed under: uncultured bacterium
Lineage: Bacteria
Description: bacterial SSU rRNA
Rfam family: Bacterial small subunit ribosomal RNA
Source: RNAcentral
CUCCAGACUCCUACGGGAGGCAGCAGUGGGGAAUAUUGCACAAUGGGGGGAACCCUGAUGCAGCGACGCCGCGUGAGUGAAGAAGUCAUUCGUGAUGUAAAGCUCUAUCAGCAGGGAAGAAAAUGACGGUACCUGACUAAGAAGCCCCGGCUAACUACGUGCCAGCAGCCGCGGUAAUACGUAGGGGGCAAGCGUUAUCCGGAUUUACUGGGUGUAAAGGGAGCGUAGACGGCAGCGCAAGUCCGAAGUGAAAGCCCGGGGCCCAACCCCGGGACUGCUUUGGAAACUGUGAAGCUGGAGUGCGGGAGGGGCAGGCGGAAUUCCUGGUGUAGCGGUGAAAUGCGUAGAUAUCAGGAGGAACACCGGCGGCGAAGGCGGCCUGCUGGACCGUAACUGACGUUGAGGCUCGAAAGCGUGGGGAGCAAACAGGAUUAGAUACCCUUGUA